GCCUGCCCGGCUGCGGGAGAGGUGCCGCCUCAGCACCCCGGCUGUUGCGGUGAUUCCUUCCACCUGGAAGACGGAGGUGCUCAAAUAAGAGCAGAGCGGUGGUGAGUUGUGUGCGCGGAGCUGACUGCUGGGCUCAGGCGUGAAGCCUCCCGCGUGCUUCGCGGUGGUGCAGACAGCUCUUAGGGCUGCACGAGGGCGGCCCUUUCCCCCUUCCAGGCUCUCUGGGCUCACAGGGCGCGCAGGGAUGCGUGCUCAGAGCUAACAGCUGGUAGGUCCUCAGUCACAGGGAGGGCAGAGCCAGCAGCCGGGGCCACGUGUGCUCACACCGCGUGUGUUACACAAGCUCGUCCCUCCGGGAAAGUGCUAAAGCUCCCGGCUGGAGCUGAUCCGUGGUGCUGGCAGCUCUCCUUAAAAGGCCGCUUAGCAGCACAGAGCUGCGCUUGGGGGAAUGCUGGUAGAAUACGGAUUCUGCAGGGCGCUGGAGCUGAGGGCUCAUUUGUGCACCUGGAGACUGCUGGCUUCAGAUGCUGAGGGCAGAGGAAAGAAAAUGAGAAGCUUAAGGGGAACACUGUAAACCUGCCUGCAUCCAACUUAGCUCAUCUCAUCGAUACAUCACUGCCUCUGCCCUCCCCUCCUGUCCAACAACGUGUGAGAAUCGUGGACAUUUUGUCCCUCCCUUCUCUUGUCGCUUGGAUGAUGUCUUUGUCCAGCUCUCUGUAUGACUUGGGAGCAGCAGCAUUUGGACUGCAGAGCUGAGUGUCAUUCAUUUAGCAGCCGAGGGGAUUCCAGAUAUUCCUAUAUCUGGAAUGAGCCAAACAUAGACACGUUGCUGAUGGAAAACCAAAGCCCUGAAAGUAAGGCUCUGGAUCACCGUGCUGCUGCAGUGAAAUCAGUGGUUAUGCUGGCUGUACUGCUACACUCAUGGCUGUAACAUAUCCCUGUGCCUUUAUGUACUGCUCAGACAAAUGCCCUGCCUGGAGAUGUGUGGGUCGUUACCUCUCAUGCAGUGUUGUCUGGGGGUGGAGAAAUGGAGGUUUGUGCUGCUAAAUUCACUGGUGAUGCAGCAACCCUGUGGGUAAGGCAUUGCAGAAGACGAGGACAAACGAGGCCAACUUCUGACCUCAAAAUGGGGUCUGAUAGGGAUCCAUGGAAUCCUUUGAUUUGGAAGGGACCCUUAGAGGCCAUCCAGUCCAACUCCCUGCGCUGAAAAGGGACACCCACAGCUCCAUCAGGUGCUCAGAGCCCCGUCCAGCCUGACCUCGGCUGUCUCCAGGGAUGGGGCACCCACCACCUCUCUGGGCAGCCUGUGCCACUGCCUCACCGCCCUUAUUGUAACAAACUUCUUCCUUACAUCCAGUCUAAAUUUACCCUCUUUUAGUUUGAAACCAUUUCCUCAUAUUCUAUCGCAGACAACAGGGGUGGUGCAGGCACUGUGCAGGGGCUCUCCUUUCUCCUGCUGGUAGUGCUUAACCUUGACAGUUCAUUAGAGAAAGGACUGUGUGCCUGGAGCCAGAAAAUGGUAAUGUCUUACCCUUGCUUUGCAAGGCUGAGCUGCAGCCUGCUCCAGCCAAAGCUCUGGAGUGAGCUUUCAUAGAAUGAUAUCCGGUUGUUUGCUGAUGGGACUGCUAAGCCUAAAGUUGUGUCCCCUGCCCAGCCUGAGCACCCUGCAGCUGGGGGGGAAGGGAGCAAAUCCAGGAGCUCCCACUUCUCAGCAUCCACUUUGGUGUGCUGGAGGCAACACAAUACAUCUGUUUUUUCAAAUCAAAAAGCACAGGCAGUUCCUGCAGUAAAGAUGCCCUUUGUGCAGCUCAGGAGGACCUCAGCCUGCUCUCUGGCACCCUGACCAAUCACCCGUGCUGAUGCAGAAACCUUUGGAGUGCUCACCAAUAGUGUGGUCAGCAGCAGCCCUCAGCUCCCAAACCAGUUCUUCAGAUCUUAGUGGGGCGGGGCGAGUCAUCCGCACUUGCGUGUUGUUGUACAAUUUGCUAUUGAGACUAAAAGGCGUGUGGCCUCCUUUCCCCGUGUUUCUGGGGCACACAGCAAAGGAGAGUAGGUGUUAAACCGAGGAGGAGCUAGAACACAGCCCUGUGAUGCCUUGAUGCCAUCGGAGACACACAGGCCUGCCAGCAAUCCCACUCAGCAGCUGCGGUGCAGAAAAUCCCAGAGUGGGCUGGGAUUCAGGGAAGGCACUGAAAUCUGCCUGUCAGGGCGACGGGGUCUCUCAGCAGGGCAUCUCGCUCUGGACGAUCCACGCAGACGUUGUGAUCGUGGUAUGCAGAGGACAAGAGAUGCCGAGAGGCAGAGCGCAGGCUGAAGCCUGCCUACAGCGUGUAACGAGAGCUAAGUGGUGAUGGGUGUGCCACGGGGUGGAGGAUGCUGCCUAACCAUUGCUGCUGCCUCUUCCUAUCUCAGCUGGUUUCAUUUCUCUUUCCUGGCCUGAGGCCAGGCUGGCUUGGAGCCAGCACAUUUCCUAGCCAUGGUUUCUUGUCAAGCUGCUGGACUGACUUCUCCUUUAGCUGGCUGUAUGCUGUUCCAAGGGCUGCUAUGUGGCCAUGCUUUGGAAAGACCUUCUGUGCUGGCCAGGCCGGGGGCUGUGCAAAAGAGGAAGGGCAGGUCUUGGCUGCACACACAGUGACUGGUGAUGCUUGUGCAAGUUUGUCACAAGGCAGAAAGAGUCAGACUUUCCUAAGUCUGAAGUUAGAGCUCUUCCUGGCUGCCUCAGUUGUCUGGAGGAGCGUGGGCAGGCUGCCGUGGGGACAACAAAAGCUCCCUGUUGAUAGGUGUGAGCAGAGUCAUUUGAGAAAAUCCCACCUUUUCUGCUCAGCAGAGUAAAGCAGCAGCUUCUCACGGCCUGGUGGGAACUUUGCUGAAGUUGCUUCUCCUCUGGACAAGGGAAGAGAAGGAGGUUCGUGGCAUCCAAGGGUACUGUCAGGGGGACUUCCAAGCUUGUAUUACUGUCAUGCAGCUCAGCAAAGAGCUGGGAGGAGGCACCUUCUCUUUCCUCAUCCCUGGGAAUGAGUCACGAGUCCCAUGCUUAUCUGUCCCGUGGGCAAGCUGCUGCCAUCCUUUUUGGAGGUCAUAAAUGGGCAGAUCAUUGGCCUCUCGUGCCUCCAGGCAGCCAAAAAGUCUCUUGCAACCCCGCUUAAAGGAGCUGCUGAAAGCAGCGCUGAAAUGGGCCUCUCUUCUUGGCAGUUGGACGAUGGCCACACAGUGUCCAGCCGUGUCUGCAGGACCAGAGAUAUGUCUUGUGUGCAUGCUGGGAAAGAGGGCAAGGAGAAGAAACCCAGGAUCAUUGUGUUUGAAGCUGGGAGACAUGUCCUGAAGUCCCUCUGGCUGAAUAACUGUGACCAUCCCACCACCACCGCAGAAGGAAACAGCAAGCUUUUUUGUGAAUCCCUUUCCUAGCAGCAAGCCAGGAAAAACGGAGCGUUGGCUCUUGCUUGGACUGUCACACGCUUGAAUUCAAGCAAUGUUUUCUCCUUUGGCAGAGAAGGAGCGAAGCCACCCUCUGCUUUGGAAGCAGCCUCUGCUUCCCUUCCUGCCUCUCCCUGAGGAUUCCGGGGGUGCCAGCUGGGUCUCAGGGGGCAGCAAGCAGCUCUGUGGGGCUGGUGUCUCUGUGGCCAUGUUCCUUUGGGCAGCUCCCUAUGUGUGACACAGCACAGAGGGAGUCCCCAGAGUUGAAGAAGCCUCGGGACAGUGCUGGCUGACGUAGAGUUUGGACUCAGUGAUCCUUGCGGGUCCCUUCCAGCUCGGGAUAUUCUGUGGUUCUAGGAUCUGAGGGAAGGAGCACUUGUUACCAGGAAGCACGGGUCUCACAGAUGCCCUUUGAAGGUGCUGGGCAGGGCUGAAGUGCAGAGUUCCUGCAGCAGGGAUGCAGCGGAAGCCUGGAGGAAAAGCAGCUAUGGAGAUAACGGCAGCAGUGACAAUCAGAAGAGGUGGGAUCGAGCUCAGCUCCGAGACAACCCGUCGGCUGAAGCAGACAUCUGUUUCCGUGGAAAAAGUCAUCUGUUGCUGUGAUGAGCCUUUGCCGCUCCUUGCCUUGGGGGAGCUGGAAGGAAGGGAAGAAGGGAUGGAGGUGGCUGAUGUGCUGCUGAUCGGGCCUGGCUGUGCCUGAGCCAAAGACAAAGCACCUGUCAGCUCUGCUGUGGGCAGCCCUGCUUUGCUUCAGAGCCACACCUUUCACAAAAGCACGAGCAUCCUCAAACGCACCCAAGCUCCUGAUGUGCUGCCAAGGGUUUCUGCCAGGCUCUGCUUCCAUCGUGUGCGAGCACCAGGGCAGCCUGGAGAGUAAACAAUGUCCUUUAAUAGGAACAGCGGGCAGCUGCUUCUAGUGCAGGCAGAAAGGAGCGUUCCCCAUUCAGAGUUUGCACGGGGGAAGCAGGAAGGCAGAAGGGGAACCGAAAUGCCCUGAUUUGGAAGUAAGUCUCUAGUAGAAGGGCUGCUGUCUCGUGUGCUACGGCCAGGGGAGAUAUUUUUAUUCAGUGGGAAAUAUUCUGUGUCUGCUCAGAGAAGAGCUUCCAGCCUGAGUCUCCCAGCCCUCAGACAGUGUGACCAUGACCUAUGGCAGGCACAGGAGCUGCUGCCAGCUCCUCAGGGCCUCUGUGUGGGGCUGGGGCUGCAGCCCUCUCCCCAUUGCCCUUCCCCUGUCCUGAGGCCUAACCUGCUCCCUGCAGCCACCCCAUUUCCUGUGGCCUACCUUGCUCCCUGCACCCUGCAGGACCGGGAAGGGAGAUGCCAAAGUGUGAACAAGAAUGCAAGCAGCAAAAACAGUGAAGUGUGUGGGCAUCGCUCCCAUUUCCAUGAGAACGAGGAAAAGAAGGAGAUGGGGAGCCUGGCUCCAGCUGUUGGUUUCCUGCUGCACUGUCACCCACUGAUGGGCUCCCUCCUUGGCUCAUCAUGCUUUUCUCCCCUUUCCUCAUGCAGGCUAUUCUCAGUGGAGUCCAGCUGCUUGUCCUGCUCACUGCAAGCCCCAGGCUUUGAGGGCAAAGCACCUGCAGCUGGGGGGCUGGGAGAGGGCCUGCUGCAGGACUGUCAUCAUUAAGGUUGGAAAAGCCCUCCCUGGUGGGAGGUGACCUUUGGGGGACUGGGGUCUCUAGCUGGGAGGAGCGAGGAGAGCACCACAGCAGGCUCUUCACCCCCCUCACUGUGUGUCAUACAGAUUUCAGUCCCUGGGAGAUGUUCUGCAGGCAGAUUUUUUAUUUCUGAAGGGCAGGCAGCAGGGAAAGGAAAGGUUGAUCUCCCCUGGGAUCUUUCUACUUUAUUUUUACUUCUGUUUCUUUAAUCUGGAGGAAGGAACGGACUACGAGGGGCAUAAAUAAGAAGUAUGAGGCUGAAACCUUUGCCCAGGGUUGUGAACGAGUUUGUGCACGAGAGGUGCUCUGCUAAGGGGAGAGGUUCAUUUCAUUUAACCUCUGUUUUGUGCUGGAGGUGUGACCAGAGUGAUCCUCCCCUCCAAAGGUGAGCAGGGAGGCAGGGGACCACAGCCAAGAGUGAGCCACCGAGGGCCGUGAUGUGCCAAGCUCCAAGCUUAGUGCUUUGCUUAUUGGGUUUUCUUCUAAGCUCAGUAUUAACCGGUGCUGAGCAGCGCAAACAGAAGUCAGAAGUGAAGGUUAACGAGGGGUGGGGGCUUGUGUUUGGGAGGGUGGUGGCAAUGAGGGGGUUGCAUGCAGCAGUGUUCCCCCUCCCCAGAGCCCAGGAGGUAUUUCCUAGCAUCCAGCCAGCAGGCACAAAGUGUUUUAUCCCAGUCCUGGUGUUAUGAAUGAACCUUUUUAAUAGCCAUUCCCAUGCUCAGCCACAUAGCUCUUGGUUUUAUAAAUGCAUUUCAUUGCUUCUCCGUAUCUUCUUGAUGUGUGUGUAAUGCAAAAUCCCUUUAAGUAAAUUAAUGUGUGUUUUCAGCGAUUCCUUCUCAAGGUUAGUGUUAAUUUGAUGUGAAUGAUGGGAGCUGAAAGGCCCAUCAGCAGGGCAUUUUGAACAAAUCGAGGUGAUGGCUCUCUGGAGGAGCUGUUUGCGGUGGAGACUUCAAUCUGGAGCUAAAGGGUUCCCACGGUAUCUGCAGUCAGCUUUCCCCAGACAAGUCCCAACUCGGAGGCAGUUGCACAGCAGCGAUCCGACCCAACGCCGUCCCUCUGCAAGGAUGUCCCACUGGUGUCCUGCUGUCCAUCCCGCAGCAUGGGAGGGCUCAGCUGGCCGUGCCAACAGCCCCAACCAUUUGCCAUGGCUUGGGGAUCUCUGAGCACACAGGAUGCUCAGAACAGGAGGAAAACAAACACGGAUUGCUGGGUAGGUUAUGUUUGCUCACCUGCUGGGGUCUCAUGCAUUCCUGAGUAAUCUAGGCAAGUUUCACUAUGCUGAAACCUUUGACUUGAUUAAAAAAACCCACCGUGGUGUUUCCAUUUGUCUGAGGAUUGAGAGGUACCCUUGCUAUCCAUUUCCCUGCUGUUGAGCACGGGACCUUUUGCCAUCUGAAAUGCUAUAUGCAUGCAUAUAUACAUCUAUACGUAACAUACGGUAUCUCAGGCUCUUGGCAGUGCUUGCAAGAAGAAAGUGAACACCUCUGUAGGUUUGGAUACCUAUCUUUACCCUGUCUGCUAAAUGCAGAUUUUCCAUUAAUUGCUAAUUCUAGAGAUGGUAGCAGAGAUAUCCAUAUGGAGGGUGGAUGGCUGGGCUGCAUCUAUCAAUAGCAACUGGGAUUUUUUAGGAAAGGGGAAGGCAGAGCAGCCAGAGGAACGUGGAGAAGCCACAGGAGCCUCCCGGCUGCUGCUUGGGUAAAAAGCAAAGCGAGAUGAAAAGGCUGUGAUGCCAUCCCUAUUCCCAGCAGCGUGCCCUGCCCACCACACCACCACAUUUUUGUGUGGGUGGAGCAAAAUCACUCCAACGCUCCCACUUGAGAUAUUCCGUGUUGUGUAAAAUAUGGGAACGCUCAUCCAAGUGUUGGAUGCAGGCUGAGCGCUGACGGCCCGCCUGCCAUGUGGGUGUCAGAGCCAUUGGGCAAUAGCACCCUCCUUUUCCUUCUGAGCAAAAACGGGAAGCUGGAGGUGAGCCCUGCCCUGCCCUGGCCUGUAGAUAGGGCACAGCUGAGCAUCGCAGCCUUGUGCAGCUGGCAGGUGAAGGCACCUGUCCCCAGGCUGUGAUUUCGGGACAGAGAGGAGCCACCCACUUUGGGCAGCUCACCGUUGGAUGCUGGGACCUCUUGCAGCUCGUGGCCCUAUUUCACGCUCAGCUGCCGCCCCAGGGAGGCUGUGGCAGGGCUGGGAGCUUCCUGCCCCAUGGCACCAUGCUCGGGAUCAACCUCCUGUCGCCAUUUGUGGCUUAGCCCACAAAUGGAUAAAACACCGUGAAUAAUUUCCCAGUAAAUGGCAUAAAAACGAUAAAAGGAGCGUUUAUGGGCUGCCUGCUGCCAGUAAGUGUAACGUGAGAAGUAAACAGCUUCCCAAAGAGCUCAGCUCCUUGGGCAAGGAGCUGGGAAGGCAGCAGGCAGCUGCAGGGGCUCUUAGGGGGAGGCAGGAGCAUCUGGAUGAAGAAGGGGAUUAAAAGGAAGAAAUUCCCCUUGAAAACGCCAUAAAAGCUGUGCGUGUUGAGACUGGAGAACACGUCAAGUUGUGCAACAGGGCAACACAACCGGUGCUGCCUUACAGCCAGCAGCCCCCCAUCUGCUCUCACAUGUGCUGGGCUGACAGGUGCCUCUGCCAGCACGGCUAAUUGCAGCUCCCCGCAUUAGGCACACCAGCCACUGCUGCCUGUCCCCUGAUCCCCCCAGGACGAGGCCAUUGCCUCCCUGACACAGGGCACAGUGAGCUGCAGCUAGGUUCUUGGCACUGCUCCCUCAUGGCAUCAGGACAAGCGGGUGGAAGGUUUAAUUCUCUCUCGAGCAUAGAUUUUUAGCAAGCAGCAACCACAGCAGGACAUCAUGUCCAGCCUUCCACCAUGCCCAGCCUUCCACCAUGCCAGGUUUGCUUGCUGCAAGCUGAAACAAAAGCGUGGUCUUGUUUCUCUUAGCAGUGACAGGAGGAAACACAGCGAAGGUGGUGGGUGGGAAAGAAAAUCAAUUAAAAAAAGCAGUAUUUUCUGGUUGGAUGCAGGCAUUAAGGACUAGUUUGCCAUUCCCACAGUUUGUCAGCUAGCUCUGGGUCCUGCCUCACACCGCUAAAACCAGGUGAGCAGAUACAGCUCUGAUAGGCAAAGGGCAUAAGGGAAACAAGAUACAAAGGCAGAGACACAGCCUUAUUAGUGCAGCCAAUGUAACUAAAAAAACAGAUAAGUUUUCAGGCACCUCCUUACAUUGGGUAAUUGCUGACUGCAGUAAUAACAAUGUCUCAAAGAGAGGCAUGACUAAAUUGGUGCUCCCUGAUUACAAGCUGCAGUACCAGCUGUCUGCAUGGUCUCUGGGACAGUGAUACGAAGCACAGCAAGGAAGAUCUGAAGGACACACAACUCAUCAGCUCCUUCUAGCACCAUUUCCCCCCCAGCUCUCACAAGCCUCCUCUCCCCCAUCCACCUAAACCUGAAUAAUGUACAGAGCUGCAUUUAAAAGAAGUCUCAUCCGAGAUGUUCCCACAAGCCUUCAGCUAAUCCCAACUGCAGCCAUCACUUGAACUCCGUGACAGCAUGCAAUCACAGCCUUGGAAAUAUCACAGCUUCUACAAAAGCAAGCUUCAGUUAUCUACACGAGGCUAUAUAUAAAGCUGCACGCUGCAGAGCUAUGCAUCGACCUUUCAUCACGUUCCCUCUGUAAAACCCAGAUUUUAGCUGUGGGUAGGGCUGCUGAGCAGGUGUUAGCUGCUUCCCAGGUUGCACGAGCUACAAAAGGUGUUGUUGCUAAGGGUCCAGUACUGCUUGCUUCUGGAAAAAAAAGGGGCUCUUGCAGAUUAAUAAGGGGAAUCUUCCCCACGGCGAGCAUACAUGUACAAAUUACAGUCGUCCUGGAGAACAGAGCACUACAAUCUCACACCCUGAGAACAGCCUGAGCUUGCAAGCCAGGCCAGGGCUGGAAAAAAAAAAAAACUGGUACAUUCUAUGUGACUGUGUUGUUCAGUUUGAGGUUCACAGGGCAACUGGAGCCCAGAGCAACAAGAACAAGCUGAGCAAAGCAGCAGUUAUGAUAUUUUCCUGUAACUCACUUGGAGCCCCCAUCUCUUCAUCACAUAAACCCAGAGAGCUUAGCUGGAAGCAUUGUUUUAGUCUAAGCUCUGCCCCACUCUACCCCCAAAAGAGCCAGUUAAUUGCUUACUCCGACCCUCUUCACAUCCACAGGCAUGGAGAUGGGAUCUUUUCCCAACAAACUAGCAUAGCGUAGGUGGUAUUAUGAGCUGAAGUCUGACCUCAGAGCUUUGCCCUACAGCAUGAGGAGGACAUGACUCUGAGCAGCAGCCCUUUGUACCCAGAUCCCCUCCCUUGCAGGAGUCAGUCUGGCUUGCCCUACUCAGGCUAAUGACAGCUUACACUCAUCAUGAGCAGAUGCAUAUGCUGAAGCCUUCAAGGUAGGGCAGGUUUAAAGUGACUCAUGUUUAGCACCAGUUCUCAGGUUUACGGCAGCUGCAAUCACGUUAAAGGCUUGCUUUUGACACUGCUAUAAGCACAUUUCUAACCCCACCAAGCAGACUACAGCAGCACAGCCAGGAUGAUGUGCUAGCACCUAAAACCAAUCAGUUCAGCUUACCAGGAACAGCAAGUCACUUAGACCUCAAAGACAUUCAGUUAACACAUCUAAGGCAGGUCAGGCCAAAACAACAGUUUAUUUCAUUUUCAACAACAUUUCAGCCAUCAAAAAAUAAACUCUAACACAGAUGGAUGGAAGACUUCUCUACAGUGUAACUAAGUGGGCUCUGACCCAAGGGGUUUGAAAUUGGAGUGACAUUUUAUUAUUCAUCCAAUAAGUUAGGAAGCAUGAGAAUAAAGUGCUUUAUUUCUGAGCUGGCAUGAGGUCAUCAAUGGACUGGCCUUUCUCAAGGCGUUUUUCCAUUUCAAUGAGCAGCUU
Molecule: long non-coding RNA, 9973 nt
Organism: Gallus gallus (chicken)
Lineage: Eukaryota; Metazoa; Chordata; Aves; Galliformes; Phasianidae
Exons: 2
Source: RefSeq, a predicted model, not a curated record